This 509-nucleotide long non-coding RNA is filed under the name Gallus gallus (chicken). RNAcentral describes it as "long non-coding RNA NONGGAT008404". The record is from RNAcentral. Lineage: Eukaryota; Metazoa; Chordata; Aves; Galliformes; Phasianidae.
GCUCCGUGAGGAGCUCCGACGGCGGCCGGGCCGAGCAGCUCUGAAGGAGGAAUCGCUCACGGCCGCGCUCGGCGCCGUGGAGAGCCGCCUCCUCCGGCCGGGGAAAACCACCUUAACGGGGAGGCAGGAAGCGGCGGCGGGCACCAAUCAGGCCGGGCUGGGGAAGGGAGGGCCGUGGCGGCGGCGGAGAGGAGGCCGCGAUGUGAGCCGGGUGCCUGCGGGCGGAUGGCCGAGGGCAGUCCCCCCGGCGGUGGGGCCGCCCCGAGCGGCGGCGGGGAAGCUGCGGGCGCCCUCAGCGCCCCGGGCGGGCCCGCAGCGCAGGUCGGAAUCUGAAGGAGUGGCUGCGGGAGCAGUUCUGCGACCACCCCCUGGAGCACUGCGAGGACACCCGGCUACACGAUGCAGCCUACGUGGGGGAUCUGCCCACGCUGAAGAGCUUGCUGGAGGAGGAGAGCUUCCAGAGGUGAGGGGGCUGCUCCCGCCCGGAGCCAGCCCAGCCCUGCCCGCUG